Molecule: ribosomal RNA, 465 nt
Filed under: uncultured bacterium
Lineage: Bacteria
Description: partial 16S ribosomal RNA
Rfam family: Bacterial small subunit ribosomal RNA
Source: RNAcentral
CCUACGGUGGGCAGCAGUAGGGAAUCUUCCACAAUGGGCGAAAGCCUGAUGGAGCAACGCCGCGUGGGUGAAGAAGGUCUUCGGAUCGUACAGCCCUUUUGUUAGAGAAGAAAGUGCGUGAGAGUAACUGUUCCCGUUUCGACGGUAUCUAACCAGAAAGCCACGGCUAACUCCGUGCCAGCAGCCGCGGUAAUACGUAGGUGGCAAGCGUUAUCCGGAUUUAUUGGGCGUAAAGGGAACGCAGGCGGUCUUUUAAGUCUGAUGUGAAAGCCUUGGGCUUAACCGGAGUAGUGCAUUGGAAACUGGGAGACGUGAGUGCAGUAUAGGAGAGUGGAAGUCCAUGUGUAGCGGUGAAAUGCGUAGAGAUAUGGAAGAACACCAGUGGCGAAAGCGGCUCUCUGGUCUGUAACUGACGCUGAGGUUCGAAAGCGUGGGGAGCAAACAGGAUUAGAUACCCGGGUAGUC